CCUACGGGAGGCAGCAGUGGGGAAUUUUGGACAAUGGGCGAAAGCCUGAUCCAGCCAUGCCGCGUGUGUGAAGAAGGCCUUUUGGUUGUAAAGCACUUUAAGCGAGGAGGAGGCUACUUAGACUAAUACUCUAGGAUAGUGGACGUUACUCGCAGAAUAAGCACCGGCUAACUCUGUGCCAGCAGCCGCGGUAAU
Molecule: ribosomal RNA, 195 nt
Filed under: uncultured bacterium
Lineage: Bacteria
Description: partial 16S ribosomal RNA
Rfam family: Bacterial small subunit ribosomal RNA
Source: RNAcentral